GAUGAACGCUGGCGGCGUGCCUAAUACAUGCAAGUCGAGCGAACAGACGAGGAGCUUGCUCCUCUGACGUUAGCGGCGGACGGGUGAGUAACGCGUGGAUAACCUACCUAUAAGACUGGGAUAACUUCGGGAAACCGGAGCUAAUACCGGAUAAUAUAUUGAACCGCAUGGUUCAAUAGUUAAAGACGGUUUUGCUGUCACUUAUAGAUGGAUCCGCGCCGCAUUAGCUAGUUGGUAAGGUAACGGCUUACCAAGGCAACGAUGCGUAGCCGACCUGAGAGGGUGAUCGGCCACACUGGAACUGAGACACGGUCCAGACUCCUACGGGAGGCAGCAGUAGGGAAUCUUCCGCAAUGGGCGAAAGCCUGACGGAGCAACGCCGCGUGAGUGAUGAAGGUCUUCGGAUCGUAAAACUCUGUUAUUAGGGAAGAAAAAAUGUGUAAGUAAAUAUGCACGUCUUGACGGUACCUAAUCAGAAAGCAACGGCUAACUACGUG
Molecule: ribosomal RNA, 497 nt
Filed under: uncultured bacterium
Lineage: Bacteria
Description: partial 16S ribosomal RNA
Rfam family: Bacterial small subunit ribosomal RNA
Source: RNAcentral